Molecule: long non-coding RNA, 201 nt
Organism: Archocentrus centrarchus (flier cichlid)
Lineage: Eukaryota; Metazoa; Chordata; Actinopteri; Cichliformes; Cichlidae
Exons: 3
Source: RefSeq, a predicted model, not a curated record
GCCCAGGGAUGCUGACGGGAGACUGACUACUAUCAAUGGACAGUACUCCUUGCUCAACAAGCACCGUGCAUAAAAACAGCAGCACGAAGAAACAGCCUAUUUUCCCAGCACUGAAAGGACCAAACAACUCCUUUUGACAUGAACCCGAUGAUGCUGAAAAAUGCUUUUGGGCUGCACCUUCAUCUCUUCUUUCAUGUCUUC